GACGAACGCGGCGGCGUGCCUAAUACAUGCAAGUAGAACGCUGAAGGAGGAGCUUGCUCUUCUGGAUGAGUUGCGAACGGGUGAGUAACGCGUAGGUAACCUGCCUGGUAGCGGGGGAUAACUAUUGGAAACGAUAGCUAAUACCGCAUAACAUUGACUAUUGCAUGAUAGUUAAUUGAAAGGUGCAAAUGCACCACUACCAGAUGGACCUGCGUUGUAUUAGCUAGUUGGUGGGGUAACGGCUCACCAAGGCGACGAUACAUAGCCGACCUGAGAGGGUGAUCGGCCACACUGGGACUGAGACACGGCCCAGACUCCUACGGGAGGCAGCAGUAGGGAAUCUUCGGCAAUGGACGGAAGUCUGACCGAGCAACGCCGCGUGAGUGAAGAAGGUUUUCGGAUCGUAAAGCUCUGUUGUAAGAGAAGAACGAGUGUGAGAGUGGAAAAGUUCACACUGGGACGG
RNAcentral lists this ribosomal RNA (463 nucleotides) under Streptococcus cristatus. Its description in RNAcentral is "bacterial SSU rRNA". It matches the Rfam family "Bacterial small subunit ribosomal RNA", at positions 28 to 475 of the family's 1533-position model. The record is from RNAcentral. Lineage: Bacteria; Bacillati; Bacillota; Bacilli; Lactobacillales; Streptococcaceae.